RNAcentral lists this ribosomal RNA (253 nucleotides) under uncultured bacterium. RNAcentral's name for it is "partial 16S ribosomal RNA". It matches the Rfam family "Bacterial small subunit ribosomal RNA", at positions 524 to 776 of the family's 1533-position model. The record is from RNAcentral.
UACAGGGGGGGCAAGCGUUGUUCGGAAUUACUGGGCGUAAAGGGUUCGUAGGUGGCCAACUAAGUCAGACGUGAAAUCCCUCAGCUUAACUGGGGAACUGCGUCUGAUACUGGAUGGCUCGAGUGCAGGAGAGGAACGCGGAAUUCCAGGUGUAGCGGUGAAAUGCGUAGAUAUCUGGAGGAACACCGGUGGCGAAGGCGGCGUUCUGGACUGCAACUGACACUGAGGAACGAAAGCCAGGGGAGCAAACGGG